Molecule: ribosomal RNA, 253 nt
Filed under: uncultured bacterium
Lineage: Bacteria
Description: partial 16S ribosomal RNA
Rfam family: Bacterial small subunit ribosomal RNA
Source: RNAcentral
UACGUAGGGUGCGAGCGUUGUCCGGAAUUAUUGGGCGUAAAGGGCUCGUAGGCGGUUUGUCGCGUCGGGAGUGAAAUCCACUGGCUUAACUGGUGGCCUGCUUUCGAUACGGGCAGACUGGAGGUAUGCAGGGGAGAACGGAAUUCCUGGUGUAGCGGUGAAAUGCGCAGAUAUCAGGAGGAACACCGGUGGCGAAGGCGGUUCUCUGGGCAUGUCCUGACGCUGAGGAGCGAAAGCGUGGGGAGCGAUCCGG